GCAGUCGAGCGAAUGGAUUAAGAGCUUGCUCUUAUGAAGUUAGCGGCGGACGGGUGAGUAACACGUGGGUAACCUGCCCAUAAGACUGGGAUAACUCCGGGAAACCGGGGCUAAUACCGGAUAAUAUUUUGAACCGCAUGGUUCGAAAUUGAAAGGCGGCUUCGGCUGUCACUUAUGGAUGGACCCGCGUCGCAUUAGCUAGUUGGUGAGGUAACGGCUCACCAAGGCAACGAUGCGUAGCCGACCUGAGAGGGUGAUCGGCCACACUGGGACUGAGACACGGCCCAGACUCCUACGGGAGGCAGCAGUAGGGAAUCUUCCGCAAUGGACGAAAGUCUGACGGAGCAACGCCGCGUGAGUGAUGAAGGCUUUCGGGUCGUAAAACUCUGUUGUUAGGGAAGAACAAGUGCUAGUUGAAUAAGCUGGCACCUUGACGGUACCUAACCAGAAAGCCACGGCUAACUACGUGCCAGCAGCCGCGGUAAUACGUAGGUGGCAAGCGUUAUCCGGAAUUAUUGGGCGUAAAGCGCGCGCAGGUGGUUUCUUAAGUCUGAUGUGAAAGCCCACGGCUCAACCGUGGAGGGUCAUUGGAAACUGGGAGACUUGAGUGCAGAAGAGGAAAGUGGAAUUCCAUGUGUAGCGGUGAAAUGCGUAGAGAUAUGGAGGAACACCAGUGGCGAAGGCGACUUUCUGGUCUGUAACUGACACUGAGGCGCGAA
Molecule: ribosomal RNA, 719 nt
Filed under: Bacillus sp. 14073
Lineage: Bacteria; Bacillati; Bacillota; Bacilli; Caryophanales; Bacillaceae
Description: bacterial SSU rRNA
Rfam family: Bacterial small subunit ribosomal RNA
Source: RNAcentral